RNAcentral lists this ribosomal RNA (1889 nucleotides) under human gut metagenome. RNAcentral's name for it is "bacterial LSU rRNA". It matches the Rfam family "Bacterial large subunit ribosomal RNA", at positions 107 to 1984 of the family's 2925-position model. The record is from RNAcentral.
UAGAUUUCCGAAUGGGGGAACCCGGCAGUGGUUAUGCACUGUCACCCAUAGCUUAGACUAUGAGGAGGGCACCCGGGGAACUGAAACAUCUAAUUACCCGGAGGAAAAGUAAUCAAACGAGAUUUUCUUAGUAGCGGCGAGCGAACGGGAAAGAGGCCAAACCGGAACGGGCAACCGCACCGGGGUUGAGGACAGUCAUCAAGUGUAAAUGAGGUAGAAGAAUCGAGCUGGAACGCUCAGCCGCAGAAGGUGAAAGCCCUGUAAUCGAAACCUUGCAUACAUGGGACUGUAUCCAGAGUACCACGAGACACGUGAAACCUUGUGGGAAGCAGGGGGGACCACCCUCCAAGCCAAAAUACUGAUAUCGACCGAUAGCGCAUAGUACCGUGAGGGAAAGGUGAAAAGAACCCCUGGCGGGGAGUGAAAGAGAACCUGAAACCGUAUGUCUACAAACAGUCGAAGUCUGUAUAUAUAUCAGGACGACGGCGUGCCUAUUGAAGAAUGAACCGACGAGUUACUGUUGCUAGCGAGGUUAAGUGGAAAACAUGGAGCCGCAGCGAAAGCGAGUCUGAACAGGGCGUUCAGUUAGUAAUAGUAGACCCGAAACCGUAGUGAUCUAUCCAUGGCCAGGUUGAAGCACAGGUAAAAUUGUGUGGAGGACCGAACUCGUGAGCGUUGAAAAGCUUUGGGAUGAGUUGUGGAUAGGGGUGAAAUGCCAAUCGAACACGGAGAUAGCUGGUUCUCCCCGAAAUAGCUUUAGGGCUAGCCUCGAGGUAGAGAGUAUAGGCGGUAGAGCACUGAUCGGGCUAGGGGCCAUACCGGUUACCGAACCUAGUCAAACUACGAAUGGCUAUACUUAUACUCGGGAGUCAGACAGUGAAUGAUAAGGUCCAUUGUCAAGAGGGAAACAGCCCAGAACACCGACUAAGGUCCCCAAUGUUACACUAAGUGGCGAAGGAUGUGGAAUUCCAAAACAACCAGGAUGUUGGCUUAGAAGCAGCCACCAUUUAAAGAGUGCGUAAUAGCUCACUGGUCGAGAGACUCUGCGCCGAAAAUGUCCGGGGCUAAAGUGUAAAACCGAAGUCGUGUCAUAUGCAGCAAUGUAUAUGGGUAGGGGAGCGUUCUCAUCGGGCUGAAGCAGUACCGUAAGGAGUUGUGGACUGAUGAGAAGUGAGAAUGUCGGUAUGAGUAGCGAAAAGAAUGGUGAGAAUCCAUUCCACCGAAAGCCUAAGGGUUCCUGAGCAACGAUCGUCGUCUCAGGGUAAGUCGGGACCUAAGCCGAGGCGGAAAAGCGUAGGCGAUGGACAACAGGUUGAAAUUCCUGUACCGGUGUGAAUCGUUUGAUCGAUGGAGUGACACAGUAAGGUAGGUCAGCACGCGAUUGGAAGAGCGUGUUUAAGCAGGUAGGUUGAGCUAUAGGCAAAUCCGUAGCUCUAAAAGCUGAGAUGUGAUGACGAGCGACUAGCAAUAGUCGCGAAGUGAUUGAUCCUACACUGUCGAGAAAAGCUUCUAGGUAGAGACACAUCGCCCGUACCAAAACCGACACAGGUAGGCGGGGAGAGAAUCCUAAGGUGCGCGGGAAAACCCUCGUUAAGGAACUCGGCAAAAUGCCUCCGUAACUUCGGGAAAAGGAGGACUCAUGUAGUGUGAAGAGCAGAAGCGCUUGGAGCAUGAAUGAGUGGCACAAGAGAGGCGCAAGCGACUGUUUACCACAAACACAGGUGCCUGCUAAAGCGAAAGCUGAUGUAUAGGUGCUGACACCUGCCCGGUGCUGGAAGGUUAAGAGGAGGGGUUAGACUUCGGUCGAAGCUCUGAAUUGAAGCCCCAGUAAACGGCGGCCGUAACUAUAACGGUCCUAAGGUAGCGAAAUUCCUUGUCGGGUAAGUUCC